This 536-nucleotide ribosomal RNA is filed under the name uncultured eukaryote. RNAcentral describes it as "bacterial SSU rRNA". It matches the Rfam family "Eukaryotic small subunit ribosomal RNA", at positions 454 to 889 of the family's 1831-position model. The record is from RNAcentral.
AACGGGGGAGGUAGUGACAAUAAAUAACAAUGCUGGGUCUAUGACUUAGUAAUUGGAAUGAGAACAAUUUAAACCCCUUAUCGAGUAACCAUCAGAGGGCAAGUCUGGUGCCAGCAGCCGCGGUAAUUCCAGCUCUGAUAGCGUAUAUUAAAGUUGUUGCAGUUAAAAAGCUCGUAGUUGGAUAUUAGAAUUUUCUUGUAUGGUCGGUUGUGAUAAACAAUCUUGUACUGUAUAAGUGAUUCUUUCCUACUGGUUACUCGACUCUGUCCUUUACUGGAUGGAGUAGUGUCGCAAGGCAUCGCUUGAUGUUAUAUUGCCUGUAAGUGUAGUUAUUGGGUAAAACUGGUAGUGAAACUUAUAGGAUCACAGUAUGAUAUUAAGUGGGGUUCCAGUUCAUUUACUUUGAGUAAAUUAGAGUGUUCAAAAGCAGCCUCUUGGGGCAUUGAAUAGAUUAGCAUGGGAUAAUAGAAUAGGACUCUUGUCUUUUUUAUUGGUUUAAAGAUUUAGAGUAAUGAUUAAUAGGGAUAGUUGGGGGG